Molecule: ribosomal RNA, 216 nt
Filed under: Glomeromycotina sp.
Lineage: Eukaryota; Fungi; Glomeromycota
Description: partial small subunit ribosomal RNA
Rfam family: Eukaryotic small subunit ribosomal RNA (bases 40-216)
Source: RNAcentral
GGGUCAGUAGGUUGGUCGUGCCACCGGUACGUACUGGUCUCACUGAUUCCUCCUUCCUGAAGAACCGUAAUGCCAUUAAUUUGGUGUUGCGGGGAAACAGGACUGUUACAUUGAAAAAAUUAGAGUGUUUAAAGCAAGCUAACGCUUGAAUAAAUUAGCAUGGAAUAAUGAAAUAGGACGAUCGAUCCUAUUUUGUUGGUUUCUAGGAUUGACGUA